GGAGGGUUAUCGAAGUGGUCAUAACGAGCCUGACUCGAAAUCAGGUUGCGAGCAAUCGCACGAGAGUUCGAAUCUCUCACCCUCCG
Molecule: transfer RNA, 86 nt
Filed under: Clostridiales bacterium
Lineage: Bacteria; Bacillati; Bacillota; Clostridia; Eubacteriales
Description: tRNA-Ser
Rfam family: tRNA
About the family: Transfer RNA (tRNA) molecules are approximately 80 nucleotides in length.
Source: RNAcentral